AAAAAAAGCCAAGAGAACCAUCACCAUUCUACCAAAAUACACAACCCCAACCCCAAGAACCGCUCAUAUCAAUAUCAUCUCUUAAUAGGUAAAUGCCUCUAUUUUGGAAAACAACUCUAAGUUGUUUUCCAAAUCUUAUCUAAAUUUUGGAGAACUGAAAAGCUAGUUUUCAAGAUCUCCAUUCGAAAAAUUGAUACAUAUGAACACAAAACUCUAUUUUCCAUUUUUCAGUGAAGAAGCCCUAAAAGUUUUUCUAUAAUCGUGAGAACUACCCACCACAAUCCAAUUUUAUAUGUAGAUGACUCCAAUAUGGUGCUACAAACAUAAAUGUUAAAAAAAUAUCCAGAUAUUUAGCACACAC
This 361-nucleotide unclassified non-coding RNA is filed under the name Hevea brasiliensis (rubber tree). Lineage: Eukaryota; Viridiplantae; Streptophyta; Magnoliopsida; Malpighiales; Euphorbiaceae. The record is from RNAcentral.